RNAcentral lists this ribosomal RNA (309 nucleotides) under uncultured bacterium. RNAcentral's name for it is "bacterial SSU rRNA". It matches the Rfam family "Bacterial small subunit ribosomal RNA", at positions 32 to 334 of the family's 1533-position model. The record is from RNAcentral.
GAUGUAACGCUGGCGGCGUGCCUAACACAUGCAAGUCGAACGGGGUGAUUUUCUUCGGAGGAUCACUUAGUGGCGAACGGGUGAGUAACGCGUGAGAAACCUGCCUUUCAGUGGGGGACAACAGUUGGAAACGACUGCUAAUACCGCAUAAUGUCAUUUGGGGGCAUCCUCGAAUGACCAAAGCUUAAUGUGCUGAAAGAUGGUCUCGCGUCUGAUUAGCUGGAUGGCGGGGUAACGGCCCACCAUGGCGACGAUCAGUAGCCGGUCUGAGAGGAUGAACGGCCACAUUGGGACUGAGAUACGGCCCAG